Molecule: ribosomal RNA, 388 nt
Filed under: uncultured bacterium
Lineage: Bacteria
Description: bacterial SSU rRNA
Rfam family: Bacterial small subunit ribosomal RNA
Source: RNAcentral
GACGAACGCUGGCGGCGUGCUUAACACAUGCAAGUCGAGCGGUAAGGCCCUUUCGGGGGUACACGAGCGGCGAACGGGUGAGUAACACGUGGGUGACCUGCCCUCAGCUCCGGGAUAAGCCUGGGAAACCGGGUCUAAUACUGGAUAUGACUCCAUGACGCAUGUUGUGGGGUGGAAAGCCUUGUGCGGCUGAGGAUGGGCCCGCGGCCUAUCAGCUUGUUGGUGGGGUGAUGGCCUACCAAGGCGACGACGGGUAGCCGGCCUGAGAGGGCGACCGGCCACACUGGGACUGAGACACGGCCCAGACUCCUACGGGAGGCAGCAGUGGGGAAUCUUGCGCAAUGGGCGAAAGCCUGACGCAGCGACGCCGCGUGAGGGAUGACGGCCU